RNAcentral lists this ribosomal RNA (320 nucleotides) under uncultured eukaryote. RNAcentral describes it as "partial 18S ribosomal RNA". It matches the Rfam family "Eukaryotic small subunit ribosomal RNA", at positions 1470 to 1796 of the family's 1831-position model. The record is from RNAcentral.
CCCUUAGAUGUCCUGGGCUGCACGCGCGCUACACUGAUGUGUCCAGUAAGCACCUAACCUCUUCCGAAAGGAACGGGGAACCUUUGCAAAGCACAUCGUGAUGGGGAUAGAAUAUUGUAAUUAUUACUCUUCAACGAGGAAUUCCUAGUAAGCGCCAGUCAGCAGCUUGCGCUGAUUACGUCCCUGCCCUUUGUACACACCGCCCGUCGCUCCUACCGAUGGGUGAUCCGGUGAAUGAUUCGGACUUCAGCGGCUCCCCUGGGGUGCGCCGGAGAAAGUUUUGUGAACCUUAUCACUUGGAGGAAGGAGAAGUCGUAACA